Molecule: long non-coding RNA, 594 nt
Organism: Mytilus trossulus (common blue mussel)
Lineage: Eukaryota; Metazoa; Mollusca; Bivalvia; Mytilida; Mytilidae
Exons: 3
Source: RefSeq, a predicted model, not a curated record
AAUGGGGGGAAUAAAAUAUUUUUAGUAGCAUUAUUAGUAAUUCCUCAGGCGACUUUGUGCUCAAUUUUAAAAGAGGUUCUCCUGGCUUUGGAAAAUCUUAUCUGAUUCAGGAGCAAAUCAUCGGUUACACUCCCCUAUCACCAGUGAUUCCUUGUUUUUAGCUGACACUCUGAAAAAGGUAUUGUGUGUAGGGCAAGAACAUUAAAGAUAAAGGGAAACUAUAAACAGAAGAAGUUAUUAACAAAAAUAGAUUUACAGAGGUCAGCAAGUCUAAAUGGUCAGACAUCUUGAUUUUCAUGGUCAUCAUUCAACAGAUCAAUACUGAACAGAAAACUUAAAGUUGAUAUUUUUCUCCAUAGUGCGACUUUUUUUAUGAAUUUGAAAUGGAACAUGUUUUUCCUUCAUUUAUUAGAAAGAGGAAAUUUCAACAUAAUGACUAAACAAAAAGAUGGGAGUCAUAUCAUCACAAUCAUAGUCUAGAUGCACAAGAACUUGAUCAAUUGGUAGAAGGACUGAAUGAAAAAAAUAUUAGUUUGUUGUUGUCCAAAUAAACUUGCUUCUCAUUUGAAUUGCUCCAUCCAAUAAAGAUGUAUA